GCUUGGACCAUGUCUCCCGAACAAGCUCAGUACAUAUGUCGCAAGCGACUUUUCUUCUCCAGCGGAUAGAAGUUCUGGAUUUUAGAAAAAUUGGCUUUUUAUGGUUUUUUGAGCUCUUGCUGAAUCAGCUGUUCAUGCUACCGAUUCCUAUCCCUAACUUGAAAUCUCCUAAGAGAAGUCUUCAAUAGAAAAAAAUAUAAGAAGCGAGUGAAUAAAGCAGAAUUGAUUCAGACUUUCCUCUCGAAGCACUUUAUGCUCCAGUCCUACAGUUGGAUCAAAAGCCUGUCUUUGUCUUUCUCGGGUUAAGCUAGUAGUCCAUUGGGUGGUGGGAUCUCCUUAUUCCUAUUUACCUUGGCUGGGAACUGAAA
This 368-nucleotide unclassified non-coding RNA is filed under the name Hevea brasiliensis (rubber tree). The record is from RNAcentral. Lineage: Eukaryota; Viridiplantae; Streptophyta; Magnoliopsida; Malpighiales; Euphorbiaceae.